This 253-nucleotide ribosomal RNA is filed under the name uncultured bacterium. RNAcentral describes it as "partial 16S ribosomal RNA". It matches the Rfam family "Bacterial small subunit ribosomal RNA", at positions 524 to 776 of the family's 1533-position model. The record is from RNAcentral.
UACGUAGGGUGCGAGCGUUAAUCGGAAUUACUGGGCGUAAAGCGUGCGCAGGCGGUUGGGCAAGUCAGAUGUGAAAUCCCCGGGCUCAACCUGGGAACUGCAUUUGUGACUGCACGGCUGGAGUGCGGCAGAGGGGGAUGGAAUUCCGCGUGUAGCAGUGAAAUGCGUAGAUAUGCGGAGGAACACCGAUGGCGAAGGCAAUCCCCUGGGCCUGCACUGACGCUCAUGCACGAAAGCGUGGGGAGCAAACAGG